This 253-nucleotide ribosomal RNA is filed under the name uncultured bacterium. RNAcentral's name for it is "partial 16S ribosomal RNA". It matches the Rfam family "Bacterial small subunit ribosomal RNA", at positions 524 to 776 of the family's 1533-position model. The record is from RNAcentral.
UACGUAGGGUGCAAGCGUUGUCCGGAAUUAUUGGGCGUAAAGAGCUCGUAGGCGGUCUGUCGCGUCUGCUGUGAAAACUCGGGGCUUAACCCCGGGCCUGCAGUGGGUACGGGCAGACUAGAGUGCGGUAGGGGAGACCGGAAUUCCUGGUGUAGCGGUGAAAUGCGCAGAUAUCAGGAGGAACACCGGUGGCGAAGGCGGGUCUCUGGGCCGUAACUGACGCUGAGGAGCGAAAGCAUGGGGAGCGAACAGG